GCAUUAGGGAAUCUUCCACAAUGGGCGAAAGCCUGAUGGAGCAACGCCGCGUGUGUGAUGAAGGGUCUCGGCUCGUAAAACACUGUUGUAAGAGAAGAAUGACAUUGAGAGUAACUGUUCAAUGUGUGACGGUAUCUUACCAGAAAGGAACGGCUAAAUACGUGCCAG
RNAcentral lists this ribosomal RNA (168 nucleotides) under uncultured bacterium. RNAcentral describes it as "partial 16S rRNA". It matches the Rfam family "Bacterial small subunit ribosomal RNA", at positions 351 to 511 of the family's 1533-position model. The record is from RNAcentral.